AGUCGACGAUGAACCACUUCGGUGGGGAUUAGUGGCGAACGGGUGAGAAACACGUGGGCAAUCUGCCCUGCACUCUGGGACAAGCCCUGGAAACGGGGUCUAAUACCGGAUACUGACCCGCCUGGGCAUCCAGGCGGUUCGAAAGCUCCGGCGGUGCAGGAUGAGCCCGCGGCCUAUCAGCUUGUUGGUGAGGUAACGGCUCACCAAGGCGACGACGGGUAGCCGGCCUGAGAGGGCGACCGGCCACACUGGGACUGAGACACGGCCCAGACUCCUACGGGAGGCAGCAGUGGGGAAUAUUGCACAAUGGGCGAAAGCCUGAUGCAGCGACGCCGCGUGAGGGAUGACGGCCUUCGGGUUGUAAACCUCUUUCAGCAGGGAAGAAGCGCAAGUGACGGUACCUGCAGAAGAAGCGCCGGCUAACUACGUGCCAGCAGCCGCGGUAAUACGUAGGGCGCGAGCGUUGUCCGGAAUUAUUGGGCGUAAAGAGCUCGUAGGCGGCUUGUCGCGUCGGUUGUGAAAGCCCGGGGCUUAACCCCGGGUCUGCAGUCGAUACGGGCAGGCUAGAGUUCGGUAGGGGAGAUCGGAAUUCCUGGUGUAGCGGUGAAAUGCGCAGAUAUCAGGAGGAACACCGGUGGCGAAGGCGGAUCUCUGGGCCGAUACUGACGCUGAGGAGCGAAAGCGUGGGGAGCGAACAGGAUUAGAUACCCUGGUAGUCCACGCCGUAAACGGUGGGCACUAGGUGUGGGCGACAUUCCACGUCGUCCGUGCCGCAGCUAACGCAUUAAGUGCCCCGCCUGGGGAGUACGGCCGCAAGGCUAAACUCAAAGGAUUGACGGGGGCCCGCACAAGCGGCGGA
This 859-nucleotide ribosomal RNA is filed under the name Streptomyces heliomycini. RNAcentral describes it as "bacterial SSU rRNA". It matches the Rfam family "Bacterial small subunit ribosomal RNA", at positions 60 to 936 of the family's 1533-position model. Lineage: Bacteria; Bacillati; Actinomycetota; Actinomycetes; Kitasatosporales; Streptomycetaceae. The record is from RNAcentral.